RNAcentral lists this ribosomal RNA (465 nucleotides) under uncultured Klebsiella sp. RNAcentral describes it as "bacterial SSU rRNA". It matches the Rfam family "Bacterial small subunit ribosomal RNA", at positions 338 to 795 of the family's 1533-position model. Lineage: Bacteria; Pseudomonadati; Pseudomonadota; Gammaproteobacteria; Enterobacterales; Enterobacteriaceae. The record is from RNAcentral.
CCUACGGGGGGCAGCAGUGGGGAAUAUUGCACAAUGGGCGCAAGCCUGACGCAGCCAUGCCGCGUGUGUGAAGAAGGCCUUCGGGUUGUAAAGCACUUUCAGCGGGGAGGAAGGCGGUGAGGUUAAUAACCUCAUCGAUUGACGUUACCCGCAGAAGAAGCACCGGCUAACUCCGUGCCAGCAGCCGCGGUAAUACGGAGGGUGCAAGCGUUAAUCGGAAUUACUGGGCGUAAAGCGCACGCAGGCGGUCUGUCAAGUCGGAUGUGAAAUCCCCGGGCUCAACCUGGGAACUGCAUUCGAAACUGGCAGGCUAGAGUCUUGUAGAGGGGGGUAGAAUUCCAGGUGUAGCGGUGAAAUGCGUAGAGAUCUGGAGGAAUACCGGUGGCGAAGGCGGCCCCCUGGACAAAGACUGACGCUCAGGUGCGAAAGCGUGGGGAGCAAACAGGAUUCGAUACCCGAGUAGUC